GGUGAACGCUGGCGGCGCGCCUAACACAUGCAAGUCGAACGGCACCCCUCUCCGGAGGGAAGCGAGUGGCGAACGGCUGAGUAACACGUGGAGAACCUGCCCCCUCCCCCGGGAUAGCCGCCCGAAAGGACGGGUAAUACCGGAUACCCCGGGGUGCCGCAUGGCACCCCGGCUAAAGCCCCGACGGGAGGGGAUGGCUCCGCGGCCCAUCAGGUAGACGGCGGGGUGACGGCCCACCGUGCCGACAACGGGUAGCCGGGUUGAGAGACCGACCGGCCAGAUUGGGACUGAGACACGGCCCAGACUCCUACGGGAGGCAGCAGUGGGGAAUCUUGCGCAAUGGGGGGAACCCUGACGCAGCGACGCCGCGUGCGGGACGGAGGCCUUCGGGUCGUAAACCGCUUUCAGCAGGGAAGAGUCAAGACUGUACCUGCAGAAGAA
Molecule: ribosomal RNA, 441 nt
Filed under: uncultured bacterium
Lineage: Bacteria
Description: bacterial SSU rRNA
Rfam family: Bacterial small subunit ribosomal RNA
Source: RNAcentral